Non-coding RNA from Paramuricea clavata, 309 nucleotides. The record is from the annotation of a GenBank genome assembly. Lineage: Eukaryota; Metazoa; Cnidaria; Anthozoa; Malacalcyonacea; Plexauridae.
GUUUGGUUCAGAGCCUGUAUCUUGUUUCAGGUGACGACACAUUUACAAAAUCACACAGUUAUCUAGACCUGUAUACGGAACAUAAUUCAUCAGCAAAAAGAUAAGGGAUGCCAAGGAGUAUUAAAGCUCAAUCACAAAAACGAGCCUUUUAGCCAAUUAAGAUUAAGUAUUUUCCAAACAGUCACUACAUACCAGUGUUACAAUCUCCUACUGUCACUUGUUUAUAAUUAGCAUAUAAAUCUAGUAGUUCUUGGUCUGUAGGUUUUUGAACUAAUUGUUUUGCAUCAUUUGCAGCUUUCUGAAAUUCCU